This 2430-nucleotide unclassified non-coding RNA is filed under the name Hevea brasiliensis (rubber tree). The record is from RNAcentral. Lineage: Eukaryota; Viridiplantae; Streptophyta; Magnoliopsida; Malpighiales; Euphorbiaceae.
GGAAAAUCUUGCUUCAAUUAUUGAAAUAAGUUUAGUUACAGAGCAAUUGAUUUCGCAAUUUCUCAGAGAUUUUAGAGCAUAACUAUACUUCUGUAGACAAGAUUGGUUUGAAAAAGCUAUUCUUCAACUUCGUUACACUUGCAGUAAACUAGCCACACAUACAAUCCUCCCAAAUUUACACGAAAUAUUUACCAUGGGUGUUGUUUUGCUAAAAGAAAUUUGAUACAUCGAUGGAUUCUUAAUUGCUUUCGCUGAAGUCUGCAUCGAUAACUUCUCCAUCUCCAUCAUCUUUACCGGUGGAACCAGAUGAUCCAGUUGUACCAGCACCAGGAGAAGGACCAGAACCGGCAGGACCUGGCUGGCUGUACAGAGACUGUCCCAGCUGCAUUACUUCUUGGUUCAAUGCAGCCAUCGCGACCUUAAUGGUUUGAGUAGAAUCACCGGAAAUGGCAUCCUUGAGCUCUUUCAGUUUGGAUUCCACUUUGUUUUUUACGUCAGCAGGCACCUUAUCUCCCAACUCUUUAAGCUGCUUCUCGGUUUGGUAUACGACAGAUUCUGCUUGAUUCUUCGCGUCUAUGGCUUCUCUCUUCUCCUUGUCCUCUCUAGCAAACUUCUCAGCUUCUUGAACCAUUCUAUCAACCUCAUCUUUGGGCAAAGUGCUAGCACCAGUUAUAGUAAUGUCCUGCUUCUUUCCUGUACCCUUAUCAGUAGCCGUGACAGAAAGAAUACCGUUGGCGUCAAUGUCGAACUUCACUUCAAUCUGGGGAACACCCCUGGGAGCUGGAGGGAUUCCAUCCAGGCGGAACCUUCCAAUAGACUUGUUAUCUUUUACAAACUCUCUUUCACCUUGCAGCACAUUAAUCUCAACACUAGUUUGCCCAUCUGCUGCAGUUGAAAAAACUUCUGAUUUUGAAGUUGGUAGUGUUGUAUUUCUUGGGAUAAUUUUGGUCAUGACUCCACCCAGAGUUUCCAGACCAAGUGACAGUGGAGUUACAUCUAAUAACACGAUGUCACUAACAUCUCCAGCCAAGAUACCAGCCUGAACUGAAGCUCCAAGAGCAACCACUUCAUCAGGAUUGACAGAAACAUUAGGCUCUUUACCAGUCAUCUUGCGGACAAGGUUUUGAACAGCCGGUAUUCGUGUUGAUCCACCAACAAGAACUACUUCAUCAAUAUCUUUGAAGGAAAGGCUGGCAUCCUUCAAGGCAGUUUCAACUGGUGUCUUAAGCCUGUCCAAUAAGUCUGAGCAUAACUCCUCAAACUUGGCCCUUGUAAAUGUUGUGUCAAUAUGUUUCGGACCAUCUGCAGUAGCAGUGAUGAAUGGCAAACUGAUAUUAGUUUGAGUCAAGGUUGACAAUUCUAUCUUUGCCUUCUCAGCAGCUUCAGUAAGACGUUGAAGCGCUUGUUUGUCUUUAAGAAGCUCUAUUCCUUCUUCUUUCCUAAAAGUAUCAGCAAGCCAGUCCACAAUUCUCUUAUCAAAAUCAUCACCUCCCAAGUGUGUGUCCCCUGAGGUAGAAAGUACCUCAAAUACUCCAUCUCCAACCUCAAGAACUGAUACAUCAAAAGUACCACCUCCUAGGUCAAAGACUAGAAUGGUUUCAUUACUCUUCUUCUCAAAUCCAUAAGCCAAUGAAGCAGCAGUGGGCUCAUUGAUUAUUCGGAGAACAUCUAAUCCGGCAAUGCGACCUGCAUCUUUUGUAGCAGUUCUCUGAGAGUCAUUAAAGUAUGCUGGUACUGUAACCACUGCUUUAGCAACUUUAUCAUUCAAGAAUUUCGAGGCAUCAUCAACAAGCUUUCUCAAGACCUGAGCAGAAAUUUCCUCAGGAGCAAACUGUUUACCAAUAGCAGGACACUCAAGUUUGACGUUCCCAUUCUCAUCCUUCAUCACUCUAUAAGAUACUUGUUUCGACUCUUCAUCAACCUCCGCCAUUUUCCUCCCUAUAAACCUCUUCACUGAGAAGAAAGUGUUCUCCGGAUUCACCACCGAUUGCCUUUUGGCUAUCUGCCCAACUAAUCUAUCUCCAUUCUUCGUAUAUGCCACUACAGACGGCGUCGUUCUUUGCCCCUCCGCAUUUGUCACUAUUGUCGGUUUCCCACCUUCCAUUACUGCCACCGCUGAAUUCGUCGUCCCCAAAUCUAUCCCCACCACCUUCUCGUUCACUACUUUCAUGGGUCUGAACCUUUGCCUCACCGCCUUGUCACUGUAACAUUUCUUCCGUGAUGCAAAACUAAUUCUCCCUCCCGAAAAUGGGGUUCUGUUGUCCAGCUUAUGCCCGGAAAAUGGGAUUUUCACUUGGUGGGUUGCUGACGAAGCCAUUUUUGAACUGAAAAAAUUGAUUUGGUUUAGUGAGUGAAAGUGAAAUACUGAAAUGAUCGACAAUUCUUGUUGUUGUUGAAACUCUGCAAGUGAGAGAGGGAUGUAUAUAGAGA